This 431-nucleotide ribosomal RNA is filed under the name uncultured bacterium. RNAcentral's name for it is "partial 16S ribosomal RNA". It matches the Rfam family "Bacterial small subunit ribosomal RNA", at positions 29 to 505 of the family's 1533-position model. The record is from RNAcentral.
AACGAACGCUGGCGGCAUGCCUAACACAUGCAAGUCGAACGAGACCUUCGGGUCUAGUGGCGCACGGGUGCGUAACGCGUGGGAACCUGCCCUUAGGUUCGGAAUAACUCCCCGAAAGGGGUGCUAAUACCGGAUAAUGUCUUCGGACCAAAGAUUUAUCGCCUUUGGAUGGGCCCGCGUUGGAUUAGCUAGUUGGUAGGGUAAAAGCCUACCAAGGCGACGAUCCAUAGCUGGUCUGAGAGGAUGAUCAGCCACACUGGGACUGAGACACGGCCCAGACUCCUACGGGAGGCAGCAGUGGGGAAUAUUGGACAGUGGGCGAAAGCCUGAUCCAGCAAUGCCGCGUGAGUGAUGAAGGCCUUAGGGUUGUAAAGCUCUUUUACCCGGGAUGAUAAUGACAGUACCGGGAGAAUAAGCUCCGGCUAACUCCG